GCAUAUCAAUAAGCGGAGGAAAAGAAACUAACAAGGAUUCCCCUAGUAACGGCGAGUGAAGCGGGAUGAGCUCAAAUUUAAAAUCUGGCUGGUUUACUAGUCCGAAUUGUAGUUUAAAGAAGCGUUUUCGGUGGCAGCCUGGGUAUAAAUCCUUUGGAACAGGGUAUCAUAGAGGGUGAGAAUCCCGUCUUUGACUCAGUGCAUGCUACUAUGUGAUACGUUUUCAAAGAGUCGAGUUGUUUGGGAAUGCAGCUCAAAAUGGGUGGUAAAUUUCAUCUAAGGCUAAAUAUUGGCGAGAGACCGAUAGCGAACAAGUACCGUGAGGGAAAGAUGAAAAGAACUUUGAAAAGAGAGUUAAACAGUGCGUGAAAUUGUUGAAAGGGAAACGCUUGACACCAGUCAUGCGAGCGGAAAAUCAGUCUUUUGCAGUGGGGAGUUGUGUGGGUUCGGACCGCAAGGCCGGCCUGUGCUGCAUCUCUGCUGUAAGUGAUGCACUUUUUCGUUUGCAGGCCAACAUCAGUUUCUUCUGCUGGACAAAACUCUUGAGAAGGUAGCAGCUUAGGCUGUGUUAUAGCUCUUGAGCGAUACAGUGGAGGGGACUGAGGUUUUCGCAGCGCGUGCUCUCGGGCAAGGCUGAUUGGGUGCUAUGGGAUCGUUCGGUGUACAAUGCAUGCAUUUUGCGCCGUGUCUUUUCUAUACUCGCUCAACUCGGCUCUCCGCGCUAGGAUGUG
Molecule: ribosomal RNA, 731 nt
Filed under: Mortierella alpina
Lineage: Eukaryota; Fungi; Mortierellomycota; Mortierellomycetes; Mortierellales; Mortierellaceae
Description: eukaryotic LSU rRNA
Rfam family: Eukaryotic large subunit ribosomal RNA
Source: RNAcentral